CUGCAUUCCUCUUUCAGGUUCUCGGCUGUGAGCUUCAUCUGCUGUUGAGAGAACAGGACAUGGUCCGGGGACGGACACUUGGAACCGAGGAGCCGGGACCACUGAUGCGGCCCGAGGUGUCCCGCCAAGUCCGGAGCCUGUUUCCAACCCAGAGGGGCGGGAAACGGUAGGUGUGGGUGGAAUGUGUUGUGUGCGCCCAGCUCAGCGGGGCCUUUACAGACACUGAAGUGAGAAGCAGCUGGCACCUCCUCCUCCCUGGACCUCCAGGAGAAGGCGGGGAACCACAGGGCUGGGGGCUGGAGCCUGACGUGGGGCCAAGUCCGUGCUCUGCCCCUGCACACCAAGUGACCUCGGAAGUGUGACCGCCGAGCCUCAUGUCACACCCGCCCCCUGGGUGAGAGGUGCACACCCUGCAGGCUGAUGCUGGGGUGACUGCCUCUCAAGUCCUUGGCCCAGAGCAGAGGCCCCAGAAGAGCGGACGUCUCACCAGCCCUCUGUUCCAACAGCCACAUCCAGGAGCAUCGGGGACACCCUGUGAAGGCUCAGAGGGACGUGUCCGAGGAAGGGGCCCACACCCAGGACCAUAGGCUGCAAGGAGGGAGCGCUCUGGCUCCAGUCCUGGGGCCCCACCCGGCCGCCUCUGCCAUGGGUGCUGGAAACGUGAGUACAGCUCUGCACGGUUGACUGAAUCAAUUACGCCUUUGGAAUCUGACUUCACACACACACAGAUUUUUGAUAAUAGCUAUUUACUUAUAGAGAAAACACAACUCUGAGCACAAACAUGGCUGGGGCCUGGGUCCCCGGCUGCCACACGCCUGGACACGACGCACACUCCCUCCGCUUUUGGGAGGAGACCCCUCUGCAGACUGUCAGUCAGAGUCUGUGCCUCCUGCUCCGCUCUGAAGGCCCCUCUAGAUCUCCAGUAACUCAGGAGGCCCCCUUCACUCCAGAUAGUCCUCAUCUCUCUUGCCCUGGGUUUAGGAGACCUUUUCAAACGUCUUUUCAUGAGAGCGAAAAAGGGGUUGAGGGGCAGAAUUUGAUGAGUAGCCAUCAGAAAUUAAAAUCUAAACUGAUGAGGAUAAAAUAUUCCCAGGUUUUCUCACAGAAUCAUACAGCCAGGAGUCCUUCUCCACCUGAGAAGGAAAAUCAUAAUGAGGUGUUUUUUUUUUUUUUAAGUCUUUAUUGAGUUUGUUACAAUACUGCUCCUGUUUCUAUGUUAUGGUUUUUUGGCCUGUGACCUUAGCUCCCUGACCAGGGAUUGAACCUGCAUACCCUGUCCUGGAAGGCGAAGUCUUAACCACUGGACUGCCAGGGAAAUCUCCACAAUGGGUUUUGAUGACACGAGUUUUGAUUGAAAGGCACCUCUGAGGUUCCCCUCCAGGUGCAGACAGCAGCCCCAUCUGUGUGUGUGGCUGGGGAUAAGCCCUCUCCCCUGAACAACCCUGCUGCAAGUGACCUAAUUCUGGAGAUGCCUCUUUUUCCAGCUCCAAGGCCUGGGAAGAGACUCUGAACCCAGCGGGCUGGGUGACCCCCACCUGCAGUGCCUGCUCUGCUGAGGGCAGGGUCCACAGUGGACUGCGUGGCUGGAUCAAAGCUGGAUAUGCUGAGCAGAGAGUAGGACCAGACCUUAAGACCCUAAAGACAAGCCUAAGAGGAAACACACUGCCACAGCCCGCCUGCCCAAAGGGAAGAGUUAAACCGCAUGGGAGGGCAGUGAGCGAUGCGCCAGCCUUCCCUGCACAGUCGGGGCAGGCCUCCACGGCUGCUGCCUGAGAGAUGGGGUUGGAGGCCACGUGGCCCCCGGGCACCCGGGUCACCCAGUUGCUCUCACUGCUCACAGGUCUGUAUCCUCUCACAGUGUGCGGUCACGGAACUCCUCAUGAAACUGCCCACAUCCUCCUUGCCUUCCAGUGAAAUGGGGGGCUUUAGCAGAACUCACUCUAGAAGCAUAAAAGUUCUGAUCUGAAGGAACCUUGUUGAUGAUUAUUUGGUGCUGUGGUCCCUGGACCUUGUUAAAUGCACACUCGGUCCCUCCCUGAGAUGAUAAAAUACCAUCAUGAUGGUUUGUAGGGGGAGCCAGGACACUCUGAACUUUACCAGGCCCUCCAAGUUCCUCCAUGGACAAACCCAGGCCUGGCAUCUGAUUUGUGGUCUGCCAUCUUUUACCAGAAAGCAAACUGGGUCACUGGGCAGGUCCAGACCACAGUCCAUGCUGAGAGUGCUGGGGUGGACCCCACAGCAGCUCAGCUGUUUGGUGAGGGCGCUUCAGCUGCCCUGCUGAAGAGGGUGGGGUGGGAAGGAGCAACCUCAUUCCCUUAAAAAAAUAGCUGGCUUCUUUGGGGACUUCAGAAUCAAAACCUUUAAAAAUAUAAGCAGGACAAUAAUGCUGACCUCUUCCCCAUUAAGAAACAUGAGAAUGAAGAGCAAACGAAAUUUUCCUCAACUCACAAGUCAUUAAAACACUCAUGUUCCAAAUUAUUCUUUAAAAAGCACAGACUGAUUUUUGGCAUCAUUAUUAGCAAUGAUUAUACAGGCAGACCUUUUACUGUGCUUCGCAGGUACUGUUUUUUGCUUUUUUAUUUUAAACAAACUGAAGGUUUCUGGGCAGUCCUGUGUUGAAUGAACACUUCUGUUGAUGGCAUUUCUUGAACAGCAUUAUUUUUUAAGGUUAUGUACAUUUUUUUAAGACAUAAUGCAAUUACACUUAAUAGACCACACUACAGUGUAAACAUUACUUUUAUAUACAGGAGAAAAAGAAAAAUUCACAACUUGCUUUACUGCAGUGGUCUGGAACCAAACCUGCAGUAUCUCAGAGGUCUGCCUCUUAACAGGAACCAACUCACUAAGUGUGUUGGCCAAAUGUGCAGCUUCACCUGAGACAAGGUGAGUGACAGGAUCCCUCUUCCCUGCGGAGAAGUAGAGAAGUGCUGUCCGAGACCUGCACUGCUCUGCACGUCCACAGACACGGCGCCGCAGAGACUCCCUCGCUGACCCAUGGUCACUUUCGGGAUCCUUCUCUUCACCUGACUCAGGAAGUCAGUUUGGUAGCAGCUGCUCUGUUACCCCUUCCCUGAGAAGGACCCUGCACGUUCCUCUCCCUCAAAUGCUGCAGGCCACCACCCCUGCUUCCCCUGCCCCCCCGUUCUGAUUUAACGGGGGCAUGAGGGUUAGGAAGGCUCCCCCAGGUGAUUUUCUCGUGCAGCUGGGGUGGAGAAGCACUACCUGGAAGGAAGCCACUUGGGCACCUUGAGAUCGUGCAGUUCGAGUCAGGACAGACUAAGCGAGGGUCUGCCGUUCAGUGAAGAAAGGAAAGCAGAGAGCAGGCCUUCUGACGUACCCGUUUUCACAAAGCCUUGGCUCUGCUUCCCAAGCACCAGCUCCUUCCCUGUCUGCCUCACCGGCCCUGCCACUGAGCUCUGCCCUUCAGCCUGGCUCCUCCCGGAACACUCAGCCCGGAGGACGCGUCUCCAUC
Molecule: non-coding RNA, 3472 nt
Organism: Odocoileus virginianus texanus
Lineage: Eukaryota; Metazoa; Chordata; Mammalia; Artiodactyla; Cervidae
Source: RefSeq, a predicted model, not a curated record